Molecule: ribosomal RNA, 465 nt
Filed under: Vreelandella stevensii
Lineage: Bacteria; Pseudomonadati; Pseudomonadota; Gammaproteobacteria; Oceanospirillales; Halomonadaceae
Description: partial 16S ribosomal RNA
Rfam family: Bacterial small subunit ribosomal RNA
Source: RNAcentral
CCUACGGGAGGCUGCAGUGGGGAAUAUUGGACAAUGGGGGGAACCCUGAUCCAGCCAUGCCGCGUGGGUGAAGAAGGCCCUCGGGGUGUAAAGCACUUUCAGUGAGGAAGAACGCCUGGUGGUUAAUACCCAUCAGGAAAGACAUCACUCACAGAAGAAGCACCGGCUAACUCCGUGCCAGCAGCCGCGGUAAUACGGAGGGUGCGAGCGUUAAUCGGAAUUACUGGGCGUAAAGCGCGCGUAUGUGGCUUGAUAAGCCGGUUGUGAAAGCCCCGGGCUCAACCUGGGAACGGCAUCCGGAACUGUCAAGCUCGAGUGCAGGAGAGGAAGGUAGAAUUCCCGGUGUAGCGGUGAAAUGCGUAGAGAUCGGGAGGAAUACCAGUGGCGAAGGCGGCCUUCUGGACUGACACUGACACUGAGGUGCGAAAGCGUGGGUAGCAAACAGGAUUAGAUACCCUGGUAGUC